GGGGUAAAAUUAAUGAUUUAAUAAUUAAUAAAAGAAAUUUUAAUAUUAAAAUAUAUUUAAUGGGGGUUAAAGUAUUUUUAAUUGAAAAAAUUUGAAAUUUUAUAGUUUAUUAGUAUUGUGAAAGAAUUUUGAAAUAAAAUUUGAAAAUAAAAUAAUUUAAAAGUAAAUUUAAUUUAUUGUAUCUUGUGUAUCAGAGUUUAUUAAAAAAUUUUUAUUAUUUUAAAUUUCUCGAAUUUAAAAGGGUUAAUUAAUUAAUAAAUUUAUUGUUUUAUAAAUAUUUUAAAUAAUUAAUUAGAAAUGAAAUGUUAUUCGUUUUUAAAUAUAUCUAGUUAUUUUAGAAAAAAAUUUAAUUUUUAAUUAAAUUUUAAAAUUAAUUUAUUGUUUAAUUAAUUUUAAAAUUUAAUUUAAUAUUUUAAGGGAUAAGCUUUAAUUUAAAAUUUUAUAAUUAAAAAUAAAUUAUUUGAAAAUUUUAUAAUUUAUAUUGUUAAUAAAUUUUAAUUUAUUAUAAAUAAUUUCAUAAAUAAUAAAAUUUAAUUAAAAAUUUAAAUUUUUAUAAAAAAAUUUUUUAUAAUAAAAAAAAAUUAUUAAUAAUGAUAAAAUUAGUAUAUAAAUAUUUAAUUUAUUUAAUAUAUUAAUUUUUGGGAAUUAUUUUAAAGGAAUUCGACAAAUAUAUAUAUUCACCUGUUUAUCAAAAACAUGUCUUUUUGAUUAAUAAUUAAAAGUCUAAUCUGCCCACUGAUAAUAAUAUUAAAGGGCUGCAGUAUAUUGACUGUACAAAGGUAGCAUAAUCAAUAGUCUCUUAAUUAGUGACUUGUAUGAAAGAUUGGAUGAAAUAUAAAUUGUCUCUAUAAUAUUUAUUGAAUUUAAUUUUUUAAUUAAAAAGUUAAAAUUUUUUAAAAAGACGAGAAGACCCUAUAGAGUUUUAUAUUUAUUUGAUUUUUAAAAUUUUAAUGAAUUGUUUAUUUUAAAAUAGAUUAAAUAUUUUAUUGGGGUGAUAAAAAAAUAAGAAUAACUUUUUUUUAAAUUAAACAUAAAUAAAUGAAUUUUUGAUCCAAUAUUAUUGAUUAUAAGAAAAAAUUACCUUAGGGAUAACAGCGUAAUUUUUUUUUUUAGUUCGUAUAAAAAAAAAAGUUUGCGACCUCGAUGUUGGAUUAAGAUAAAAUUUAAAUGCAAAAGUUUAAAAUUUUGAUCUGUUCGAUCAUUAAAAUCUUACAUGAUCUGAGUUCAAACCGGUGUAAGCCAGGUUGGUUUCUAUCUUUUAAAAUAUUUUAUAUUUUAGUACGAAAGGACCAAAUAUUAUAAUUAAAUUAAUUAAUUGGAAUAUUAUUAAUUAUAUAAAUAAAUUUGG
RNAcentral lists this ribosomal RNA (1348 nucleotides) under Acosmeryx castanea. RNAcentral's name for it is "16S ribosomal RNA". The record is from RNAcentral. Lineage: Eukaryota; Metazoa; Arthropoda; Insecta; Lepidoptera; Sphingidae.